UACAGAGGGGGCAAGCGUUGUUCGGAAUUACUGGGCGUAAAGCGCGCGUAGGCGGACCUGCAAGUCGGGGGUGAAAUCCCGGGGCUCAACCCUGGAAUGGCCUUCGAGACUGCCGGUCUUGAGUUCGAGAGAGGUGGGUGGAAUUCCGAGUGUAGAGGUGAAAUUCGUAGAUAUUCGGAGGAACACCAGUGGCGAAGGCGGCCCACUGGCUCGACACUGACGCUGAGGUGCGAAAGCGUGGGGAGCAAACAGG
This 253-nucleotide ribosomal RNA is filed under the name uncultured bacterium. RNAcentral's name for it is "partial 16S ribosomal RNA". It matches the Rfam family "Bacterial small subunit ribosomal RNA", at positions 524 to 776 of the family's 1533-position model. The record is from RNAcentral.